Pimephales promelas (fathead minnow) is the source of this 491-nucleotide non-coding RNA. Lineage: Eukaryota; Metazoa; Chordata; Actinopteri; Cypriniformes; Leuciscidae. The record is from RefSeq and is a predicted model, not a curated record.
UAAUAAAAGAGGAACAUUGUCAAAACAGCAUACGUAAAGUGUUUUGAGGAUAUAUUAGGCUACUCUGAACUGAACUGUUGCGACAAAUGCGUUUACAAGAGAUGAGAAGCUGAUUGGAGGUCGCUGUAGAUCGACGUUUAAAACCACCAAUCACAGCGCGAUGUUGCCAUGACGUAAGAACAUUUGAACUCGACAAACAGCGCAAAUAAAGCAACGUUUCUGUUGAAGAAAUCGGCGCAGAAUGUCCGUUGUCUAAAUUGGCGACACAUUGGCCCAAAACAACAGAACUCCUGGUCAACGGAACUCUUUCACAACUAAUGGCAGUGAAUGGCCGUCUAUCAAGGCGCAUCCAUCCAUGAUAAAAGUAAUCCACCACAUGACUCUGGCGGGGUUAUAAAGCCCUUUUAAAGCGAAGCAUUUGUGCUAUGAGGAAAAACUCUACCGUGCACACAGAGAACAGAGCUCAAUGCUGCUAACUGGGGGAGCAGCUG